UGCGCAUCACAUGCCCUGGGUGAUAACGGACUAAAAAAACCUGCAAAGUUUGGAUCUGUUCCUGUCUUAGAAGCCAGAAAAAUGGAGAAUUGAUAUUCAAAGGAGGUGAGGCAGAAGACACUACAGUGGUACCUCUGCGCAGCUGGGAAAGAGAGACAGCAAGAUAAAAGACUGCUCUAAUUGUAACUACAACUUACAGAAAAUACCUUCAAUAGUGGAACAUAUGAAAUGACACUAGAAGAAUGGAAACAGCAAAAUCCAGGCUUUCAGAAGCACUGAAAUUCAUAUUUCUGAUCCAUUUCUAAGAAUCAAAGUUACUAGAAACAUAUAUG
Molecule: long non-coding RNA, 332 nt
Organism: Eptesicus fuscus (big brown bat)
Lineage: Eukaryota; Metazoa; Chordata; Mammalia; Chiroptera; Vespertilionidae
Exons: 3
Source: RefSeq, a predicted model, not a curated record